RNAcentral lists this ribosomal RNA (301 nucleotides) under uncultured bacterium. RNAcentral's name for it is "partial 16S ribosomal RNA". It matches the Rfam family "Bacterial small subunit ribosomal RNA", at positions 509 to 807 of the family's 1533-position model. The record is from RNAcentral.
CAGUCGCCGCGGUAAUACGAAGGGGGCUAGCGUUGCUCGGAAUGACUGGGCGUAAAGGGCGCGUAGGCGGCGGCCAAAGUCAGGCGUGAAAUUCCCGGGCUCAACCUGGGGGCUGCGUUUGAUACUUGGUUGCUUGAGUGGGGAAGAGGGUCGUGGAAUUCCCAGUGUAGAGGUGAAAUUCGUAGAUAUUGGGAAGAACACCGGUGGCGAAGGCGGCGACCUGGUCCUUUACUGACGCUGAGGCGCGAAAGCGUGGGGAGCAAACAGGAUUAGAUACCCGAGUAGUCCCUGUCUCUUAUAC